CGUUAGCCCCGAUUGCAGUGGAAAUCCUCUUGUUCCGGGGUUCGGAACAAGAGAUUGCAGCGAAAAGCGGGAGUAUAC
This 78-nucleotide small RNA is filed under the name Flavobacterium aquicola. Its description in RNAcentral is "Flavo-1 RNA". It matches the Rfam family "Flavo-1 RNA". Lineage: Bacteria; Pseudomonadati; Bacteroidota; Flavobacteriia; Flavobacteriales; Flavobacteriaceae. The record is from RNAcentral.